GAGUUUGAUCCUGGCUCAGGGUGAACGCUGGCGGCGUGCUUGACACAUGCAAGUCGAACGGUAUGUGGCAACACAUAGAGUGGCGAACGGGUGAGUAACACGUGGGAACGUAUCUUUUGCAGGGGGAUAACUGACCGAAAGGACAGCUAAUACCGCAUAAGUCCGAGAGGAGAAAGGUGCAAAAGCAUCGGCAGAAGAGCGGCCCGCGGUCCAUCAGCUAGUUGGUGAGGUAAGGGCUUACCAAGGCGACGACGGAUAGCCGGCGUGAGAGCGUGGCCGGCCACAAGGACACUGAGAUACGGGUCCUACUCCUACGGGAGGCAGCAGUGCGGAAUUUUAGAUAAUGGAGGGAACUCUGAUCUAGCGACGCCGCGUGCAGGAAGAAGGUCUUCGGAUUGUAAACUGCUGUGGUAAGGGAAAAAUGCUAUGUAGAGUGGAAAGCUACAUAGAGGGAUGGUACCUUACUAGAAAGCCCCGGCUAACUACGUGCCAGCAGCCGCGGUAAUACGUAGGGGGCGAGCGUUACCCGGAAUCACUGGGCGUAAAGGGGGCGUAGGUGGCCUAACAUGUCAACUGUGAAAACCCGGAGCUCAACUCCGGACUUGCAGUUGAAACUGGUAGGCUUGAGGACGGUAGAGGAAGACGGAACUGCCAGUGUAGGGGUAAAAUCCUUUGAUAUUGGCAGGAACGCCGGUGACGAAGGUGGUUUUCUGGGCCGGUUCUGACACUGAUGCUCGAAAGCCAGGGGAGCGAACGGGAUUAGAUACCCCAGUAGUCCUGGCCCUAAACGAUGUUCACUAGGUGUGGGGAGCGGAAAGCUCUCCGUGCUAAAGCUAACGCGAUAAGUGAACCGCCUGGGGAGUACGCCCGCAAGGGUGAAACUCAAAGGAAUUGAC
This 896-nucleotide ribosomal RNA is filed under the name uncultured bacterium. RNAcentral's name for it is "bacterial SSU rRNA". It matches the Rfam family "Bacterial small subunit ribosomal RNA", at positions 9 to 914 of the family's 1533-position model. The record is from RNAcentral.